GUGAGGAAUUUUCCGCAAUGGGCGAAAGCCUGACGGAGCAAUGCCGCGUGAAGGAUGAAGGCCUAUGGGUUGUAAACUUCUUUUCUCAGAAAAGAAUUAUGACGGUAUCUGAGGAAUAAGCAUCGGCUAACUCUGUGCCAGCAGCCGCGGUAAGACAGAGGAUGCAAGCGUUAUCCGGAAUGAUUGGGCGUAAAGCGUCGGUAGGUUGUUUAAAAAGUAUUCUGUCAAAGAUUAGGGCUUAACCCUAGAUAGGCAGAAUAAACUUUUAAGAUAGAGUUUGGUAGAGGCAGAGGGAAUUCCCGGUGGAGCGGUGAAAUGCGUAGAUAUCGGGAGGAACACCAAAGGCGAAGGCACUCUGCUGGGCCAAUACUAACACUGAGAGACGAAAGCGAGGGGAGCAAAUGGGAUUAGAAACCCGAGUAGUCC
Molecule: ribosomal RNA, 426 nt
Filed under: uncultured bacterium
Lineage: Bacteria
Description: partial 16S ribosomal RNA
Rfam family: Bacterial small subunit ribosomal RNA
Source: RNAcentral